This is a long non-coding RNA of Meriones unguiculatus (Mongolian gerbil), 2104 nucleotides long. The record is from Ensembl. NCBI's taxonomy places the organism in Eukaryota, Metazoa, Chordata, Mammalia, Rodentia, Muridae.
GGCUGUGAUCACAGAAAUCUCAAGUGUGAAGUCAACACUGAGUCUAAAAGAUUCUCUACUGUCUUAAGGUUUUCAUUCAGCUCUGGCCACAUUUUUUUCCUUCUUUAGAACAAUGACUCCUUAUAUUACUGGUCUUUCUUCUCGUGAUUCUCAGGUUUAACACAUAUGUCAGGAUUGUUAGUUGGGUAAUACCCCAUAUUUUCCCACUAGAAACUUUCGAUCCCCGUUUGGAAAUGUGUUUUAAAACUUUCUGGUCUCCAGUCGGGCAGUGGUGGCACAUGCCUUUAAUACCAGCAUUCAGGAGGCAGAGACAGGUGAAUUUUUGAGUUCGAGGCCAGCCUGGUUUACAUACAGAGUUCCAAGACAGCCAGGCUAAACAGAGAAAUCCUGUCUCUAACCCACAAUCCCCCGCCUCUCUUCCCCCACCCAAAACAACAACAACAACAGCAAAACCCAAAACUUUCUGUUACUAAUUCCAGGUCAGAAUACACACAGGAAUCCUGAGAAACACUGUCGGACCAGUGAAAGGACAGGAAUUCGAAAUGGAAUUCACAUAGCGUUUAGCAGAGGAAAGUCCUGGUGUUAUCAAAUCCAGGGACUUGUGGGAUCUGUUCGGUCACCGGUAGGGCAGUGGGGAGUGACUCAGUUGCCCAGAGCUGCGAUGGCUGCUGCUGAGGCUUUCUUUUGCCCGGAUCUAUCUUCUUUACGUGUCAGCAUUUACUGUGAGAACUACAGUGAAUACAUUUAGUAAAAUGUUGGUACCUUCUUACUCAUCAGUUGAAUCAGGAAGUUGCCGCCGUGUGUUUUCGAAACACUCAACCCCUCAAAGUUUCUCCUGCCCUUAACCAAAAUGGUCGUUAAGGGGGUCCGGAGGGCUGAAGCUCCUGGCCCUUAACAAAGAUGGCGCCGAGAGGCACGUUAGCUACGAGUUUGCCCUCUUCUGCGCCCGUGACAAACAUGGCUUCCAAGGCGUCACCCACAUGACCUCCCCGGACUACGGCACGGGAGACGGCGCAGGAGGGCCCUUGAAAAGGGUGCGCGUUCCUGUGGCGGUGCACCGGGUAGGUUUCAGUCAGAGUCACUAUGGCGGCCAGCGCUGGCGAGGGCGCGAAGUUUCCUGCCUCGGCCGCCACCGCCUGAGCUCGCCGCACUGGCCGCGCGGCGGAGGCUGCGGCGGAGCCAGCGCCGGCCUCCAGGCCUCUCCCUCCCGCUCCGGGCCAGCCUCCCUCCCCCACGCACCGCCGCCCUCCGGGAGCCGCCGGCCCCCGACAUGCGACCCUCGCGGGGACGUCCUGAGGCGAGGCGGCCCGCGUGCUGAGCAGGCCGAGCCCCGAGCUCCGCGGGACCGACUUCCCGCCGGCCCGGGCGCCCCGGCCUCCGGGCUCAGCGCCUGUCCGCCCCGGCCUGCCGAGCCGGGUCCCCGCCCUGGUCGCGGGGCCAGCCGCCCGGUGCCGGGACUCGCGGCUCAGUCGCUCGCCCCAGCCCGGGGUCGCGGCCCGGCUCCCUGCGGCCCGGGCCCCCCUGCCACUCCCGGCGGCGGCGGCGGCGCAGCGGGGCGAUGCCCCCCGGCCCGCUGGCCCUCUAGCCCGCUCGGCCGGUCCCCUCACCUCCUGUCAGCCCCGCGGCUUCUGAGCCCCGGCGGCGGCCGCCCGGAGGACCUUCCGACCGCCCCGAGCCAGCCCUCUUCAUGCUGCAGUGCCGCACCGUUUCCGCUACCGAAGGGGAGAAGCGGCCGGGAUCGCAAACAAAACCCGAGAACUGGUGUGUGACUCAUCUGCUCGGAUACCUCCCGUCCCCGAACUGUCUUCCCGGAGUUUUCUCGGCCGAAGCUGCCCAAUGUUUGAGCCUUUUCUUCCUAGGGAAGAUAGACUGAAAGCUGCCAGUUGGGGACUUUUUUUGGUCAAGAAGUCUCUGUAUUUUGAAGGAGGUGAUGGGGCUUGCGCUGACUUGUCUUCCUGCCCAGUUGAAGAGUUGUUGAUGUUCACUGGUUAUGCUUAGACAAUGCGCAGUCUGUUUUAAUUUAAAAAUUUUGGGGGGCUAGGGCUAUAAGCUUGUGAAGAGCCUUCCGAACCCGGAGGAGCUCCUCAUUGUCCCCGGUAGAGAC